UACGUAGGGUGCAAGCGUUAAUCGGAAUUACUGGGCGUAAAGCGUGCGCAGGCGGUUGUGCAAGACCGAUGUGAAAUCCCCGGGCUCAACCUGGGAAUGGCAUUGGUGACUGCACGGCUAGAGUGUGUCAGAGGGGGGUAGAAUUCCACGUGUAGCAGUGAAAUGCGUAGAGAUGUGGAGGAAUACCGAUGGCGAAGGCAGCCCCCUGGGAUAACACUGACGCUCAUGUACGAAAGCGUGGGGAGCAAACAGG
RNAcentral lists this ribosomal RNA (253 nucleotides) under uncultured bacterium. RNAcentral describes it as "partial 16S ribosomal RNA". It matches the Rfam family "Bacterial small subunit ribosomal RNA", at positions 524 to 776 of the family's 1533-position model. The record is from RNAcentral.